This 3360-nucleotide ribosomal RNA is filed under the name Triticum aestivum (bread wheat). RNAcentral describes it as "partial small subunit ribosomal RNA". Lineage: Eukaryota; Viridiplantae; Streptophyta; Magnoliopsida; Poales; Poaceae. The record is from RNAcentral.
AUGACGAUCUCCACACCGCCCCCGGCGCCCGCAGAGCCGCAGCCGCAGCAGGAGGAAGAGGAGGUGCUCGUGCCGCACCAGGAGCUACCCAACGGGACGCAGCCAAUGGAAGUUGUGCCUGCUGAGCCAGCUGCUACUGUCGAAAACCAGCCAACAGAGGAUACACCAAUCUCGAGAUUUACUUGGACCAUUGAUAACCUAUCAAGAGUGAAUACGAAGAAGCUCUACUCUGAAACUUUUGUUGUUGGUGGCUACAAGUGGCGAGUUUUGAUUUUCCCAAGGGGAAAUAAUGUUGAAUUCUUGUCUAUGUAUUUGGAUGUUGCUGAUUCAGCAGUCUUGCCCUAUGGAUGGACUAGAUAUGCACAGUUCAGCCUCUCAGUGGUUAAUCAAAUUCACAACAAGUUUACAAUAAGAAAAGAAACACAACAUCAGUUCUCUGCUCGAGAAAGCGAUUGGGGUUUCACUUCAUUUAUGCCUUUGAGUGAACUCUACAAUCCCAGUAGAGGUUAUCUUGUAAAUGAUACUUGUGUAAUAGAAGCAGAGGUUGCUGUGUGUAAGGUUGUUGAUUAUUGGAGUUAUGACUCUAAAAAGGAGACUGGCUAUGUUGGCCUCAAAAACCAAGGUGCCACUUGCUAUAUGAAUUCUCUCCUUCAGACUCUCUAUCACAUUCCAUAUUUCAGAAAGGCGGUUUAUCAUAUGCCCACUACUGAGAAUGAUAUGCCCUCAGGAAGCAUUCCAUUAGCUCUUCAAAGUCUCUUUUAUAAGUUGCAGUAUAAUGACAGCAGUGUUUCCACAAAGGAGCUAACAAAAUCUUUUGGGUGGGACAUGCACGAUUCAUUUAUGCAACAUGAUGUGCAAGAACUAAAUAGAGUUCUUUCUGAGAAGUUGGAAGAUAAGAUGAAGGGAACCGUUGUGGAGGGCACAAUCCAACAAUUAUUUGAAGGGCAUCACAUGAACUAUAUCGAGUGUAUCAAUGUGGACUUUAAAUCAACAAGGAAGGAAUCCUUCUAUGACCUACAGCUUGAUGUCAAAGGUUGUCAGGACGUCUAUGCUUCAUUUGACAAGUAUGUGGAGGUGGAGCGCCUGGAAGGUGAUAACAAGUAUCAUGCGGAACAGCAUGGAUUGCAGGAUGCAAAGAAAGGUGUUCUUUUUAUCGACUUCCCUCCUGUUCUACAACUUCAGCUAAAACGCUUUGAAUAUGAUUUCAUGCGUGACACAAUGGUGAAGAUAAAUGACCGUUACGAGUUCCCACUUCAGUUGGAUCUGGAUAGAGAUGAUGGGAAGUAUUUAUCUCCCGAUGCAGACAGGAAUGUGCGAAAUCUUUACACUUUGCACAGUGUUCUUGUCCAUAGUGGCGGUGUUCAUGGUGGGCAUUACUAUGCUUUCAUAAGACCUACGCUCUCUGAUCAGUGGUUCAAGUUCGAUGAUGAGCGUGUAACAAAAGAAGAUGCAAAGAGGGCAUUGGAAGAGCAAUAUGGUGGUGAGGAGGAGCUACCCCAGACUAAUCCUGGCUUAAACAACACUCCGUUCAAGUUUACCAAAUAUUCGAACGCAUACAUGCUUGUAUACAUUCGUGAAAGCGACAAGGACAAAAUAAUUUGUAAUGUGGAUGAGAAGGACAUAGCUGAGCACCUUCGAAUUAGACUGGAAAAGGACCGUGAAGAGAAGGAGCGCCGGAAAAAGGAGAAAGCUGAGGCCCACCUAUAUACCAUCAUUAAGGUUGCUAGGGAUGACGAUUUGACUGCUCAGAUAGGGAAAGAUAUAUAUUUUGAUCUUGUUGAUCAUGAUAAAGUCCCGAGCUUUCGUAUUCAAAAGCAGAUGCCUUUUACUCAAUUCAAGGAGGAGGUAGCAAAAGAAUUGGGCAUCCCUACGCAGUUCCAACGAUUUUGGUUGUGGGCCAAGCGGCAAAACCAUACCUACCGACCCAAUCGACCGUUGACUCCUCAAGAAGAAGCACUAACUGUUGGGCAAUUAAAGGAAGCAGCAAACAAGGCCCACAACGCAGAACUGAAGUUGUUCUUGGAAGUUGAACUUGGGCUGGACCUAAAACCUCUUGCUCUACCAGACAAGACCAGGGAUGAUAUUUUGCUUUUCUUCAAACUCUAUGAUCCUGAAAAGGAACAGCUGCGGUAUGUUGGUAGGCUCUUUGUGAAGGCUUCAGGAAGACCACAGGAUAUUCUGCCAAAAUUGAGAAAAAUGGCUGGUUUUUUGCAAGAUGAUGAUGUCGAACUUUACGAGGAAAUUAAGUUCGAGCCAAAUGUGAUGUGUGAAUACAUUGAUAAUAGGAUUAUAUUUCGCUCUUGCCAGCUGGAAGAUGGUGAUAUUGUUUGUUUUCAAAAAUCCCCAAAGCCAGAUACUGCUGACCAGUUUAGAUACCCUGAUGUCCCAUCGUUUCUGGUGUAUAUACGUAACAGACAGGUUGUCCACUUCCGGUCGUUGGAGAAGCCCAAGGAGGAUGAUUUUUGCCUAGAGAUGUCAAAGAUUUUCACGUACGAUGAAGUUGUAGAAAAAGUCGCUCAACAGCUUGGUGUUGAUGACCCAUCAAAAAUUCGUCUUACAUCACAUAAUUGUUACUCUCAACAGCCUAAGCCUCAACCCAUUAAGUACAGAGGCGUUGAACGUUUGCUAGAUAUGCUGAUUCACUACAAUCAGACUUCUGAUAUUCUGUACUAUGAAGUAUUGGAUAUACCCCUGCCAGAACUACAAGCAUUGAAGACAUUGAAAGUUACAUAUCAUCAUGCCACCAAGGAUGAGGUGUCUGUUCACAGUAUAAGAUUGCCAAAAAAUAGCACGGUUGGUGAUGUUCUAAGUGAUAUCAAAUCAAAGGUUGACCUAUCUCAUCCUGAUGCUGAACUUCGAUUACUUGAAGUUUUCUACCACAAGAUAUACAAGAUUUUUGCACCCAGUGAAAAAAUAGAAAACAUCAACGAUCAGUACUGGACACUGCGUGCAGAGGAGGUACCGGAGGAGGAGAAAAACCUUGGUCCUUUUGAUCGCUUGAUUCAUGUAUACCAUUUUACCAAAGACACUCAAAACCAAACGCAAGUUCAGAAUUUUGGAGAACCUUUCUUUAUGGUUAUUCGUGAGGAUGAGACCUUAUCUUCUAUUAAAGAACGUUUACAGAAAAAGCUUAAGGUCUCAGAUGAGGAUUUCUCCAAGUGGAAAUUUGCGUACAUAUCCCUUGGUCGCCCAGACUAUUUUGAAGAUUCUGACACUGUAGCUACGAGAUUUCAGAGAAACAUGUAUGGAGCUUGGGAGCAGUAUCUUGGACUGGAGCACCCGGACACAGCGCCAAGAAAGGCACAUAGUGCUAACCAGAACCGCCAUUCAUUUGAGAGGCCUGUAAAGAUCUACAACUAG